Molecule: ribosomal RNA, 478 nt
Filed under: uncultured organism
Description: partial 16S ribosomal RNA
Rfam family: Bacterial small subunit ribosomal RNA
Source: RNAcentral
UACACUCCUACGGGAGGCAGCAGUGGGGAAUUUUGGACAAUGGGCGAAAGCCUGAUCCAGCCAUGCCGCGUGCAGGAUGAAGGCCUUCGGGUUGUAAACUGCUUUUGUACGGAACGAAACGGCCUUUUCUAAUAAAGAGGGCUAAUGACGGUACCGUAAGAAUAAGCACCGGCUAACUACGUGCCAGCAGCCGCGGUAAUACGUAGGGUGCAAGCGUUAAUCGGAAUUACUGGGCGUAAAGCGUGCGCAGGCGGUUAUGUAAGACAGUUGUGAAAUCCCCGGGCUCAACCUGGGAACUGCAUCUGUGACUGCAUAGCUAGAGUACGGUAGAGGGGGAUGGAAUUCCGCGUGUAGCAGUGAAAUGCGUAGAUAUGCGGAGGAACACCGAUGGCGAAGGCAAUCCCCUGGACCUGUACUGACGCUCAUGCACGAAAGCGUGGGGAGCAAACAGGAUUAGAUACCCCGGUAGUCCCAUGAU